This 388-nucleotide unclassified non-coding RNA is filed under the name uncultured Phycisphaerae bacterium. Its description in RNAcentral is "contains 16S-23S intergenic spacer region". Lineage: Bacteria; Pseudomonadati; Planctomycetota; Phycisphaerae. The record is from RNAcentral.
UCCGGCUUGACGCCGGCAGUCUCGCUAGAGUACCCGCCAUGACGCGCUGGCAACUAGCGACAGGGGUUUCGCUCGUUAAGGGACUUAACCCGACACUUCACAGCACGAGCUGACGACAGCCAUGCAACACCUGUGCAAGCAUCACCCCGAAGGGCACCUCUCUGAGUUAUCCCCGAAGAGGACUCUUGCAUGUCAAACCCGGGUCAGGUUCUUCGCGUUGCUUCGAAUUAAGCCACAUGCUCCACCGCUUGUGUGAGCCCCCGUCAAUUCCUUUGAGUUUUAGCCUUGCGGCCGUACUCCCCAGGCGGCACACUUAUCGUUUUUACUCCGACGCGAGCUCCGUCAGAGGCCCUCGCGUCUAGUGUGCAUCGUUUACGGCGUGGACUAC